AAGUCGUAACAAGGUUUCCGUAGGUGAACCUGCGGAAGGAUCAUUACCGAGUUAGGGUCCUCAAAGGCCCGAUCUCCCAACCCUUUGCUUAUUAUACCUUGUGUUGCUUCGGUAGGUCUGGCUCGUCCUACCGGAGGACCGUAAAACGUCCUCUGGAGAGUGCCUACCGAUAGCCCAAACCAAAAACUCUUGAACAAAACAUGUAUUGUCUGAGUAAACAAAAAAAUUAAAGCAAAACUUUCAACAACGGAUCUCUUGGUUCUG
This 264-nucleotide unclassified non-coding RNA is filed under the name Exophiala xenobiotica. RNAcentral describes it as "partial internal transcribed spacer region". The stretch from base 1 to 46 matches the Rfam family "Eukaryotic small subunit ribosomal RNA", at positions 1786 to 1831 of the family's 1831-position model. The record is from RNAcentral. Lineage: Eukaryota; Fungi; Ascomycota; Eurotiomycetes; Chaetothyriales; Herpotrichiellaceae.